RNAcentral lists this ribosomal RNA (483 nucleotides) under uncultured bacterium. RNAcentral describes it as "partial 16S ribosomal RNA". It matches the Rfam family "Bacterial small subunit ribosomal RNA", at positions 28 to 507 of the family's 1533-position model. The record is from RNAcentral.
GACGAACGCUGGCGGCGUGCUUAACACAUGCAAGUCGAACGCUGAAGCUCAGCUUUUGUUGGGUGGAUGAGUGGCGAGCGGGUGAGUAACACGUGAGUAACCUGCCCCCUUCUUUGGGAUAACGCCCGGAAACGGGUGCUAAUACUGGAUAUUCACUGGUCUUCGCAUGGGGGUUGGUGGAAAGGGUUUUUCUGGUGGGGGAUGGGCUCGCGGCCUAUCAGCUUGUUGGUGGGGUGAUGGCCUACCAAGGCUUUGACGGGUAGCCGGCCUGAGAGGGUGACCGGUCACAUUGGGACUGAGAUACGGCCCAGACUCCUACGGGAGGCAGCAGUGGGGAAUAUGGCACAAUGGGCGCAAGCCUGAUGCAGCGACGCCGCGUGAGGGAUGGAGGCCUUCGGGUUGUGAACCUCUUUCGCUCAUGGUCAAGCCGCAACAAUGGUUGUGGUGAGGGUAGUGGGUAAAGAAGCGCCGGCUAACUACGUG